AGUGAACGCUGGCGGUAGGCCUAACACAUGCAAGUCGAACGGCAGCACAGUAAGAGCUUGCUCUUACGGGUGGCGAGUGGCGGAGGGGUGAGGAAUACAUCGGAAUCUACUUUUUCGUGGGGGCUAACGUAGGGAAACUUACGCUAAUACCGCAUACGACCUACGGGUGAAAGCAGGGGAUGUUCGGACCCUGCGCGAUGGAAUGAGCCGAUGUCGGAUUAGCUAGUUGGCGGGGUAAAGGCCCACCAAGGCGACGAUCCGUAGCUGGUCUGAGAGGAUGAUCAGCCACACUGGAACUGAGACACGGUCCAGACUCCUACGGGAGGCAGCAGUGGGGAAUAUUGGACAAUGGGCGCAAGCCUGAUCCAGCCAUACCGCGUGGGUGAAGAAGGCCUUCGGGUUGUAAAGCCCUUUUGUUGGGAAAGAAAAGCAGCAGGUUAAUACCCCGCUGUUCUGACGGUACCCAAAGAAUAAGCACCGGCUAACUUCGUG
Molecule: ribosomal RNA, 492 nt
Filed under: uncultured bacterium
Lineage: Bacteria
Description: partial 16S ribosomal RNA
Rfam family: Bacterial small subunit ribosomal RNA
Source: RNAcentral